UUAGAGAUUCCUGUACUUGGGUAACAUGUUUGAACGAUGGAGGGACACAGGAGGUAGCGCCACGCAUCCGGAUGGAAGAGGAUGUAGAAGCAUCAAGUGGGGUUGUGAGUCAAAUGCUUACGACUAUCUAACCACGAGGUGUGACCUGGAGCGAAUUAAGUAGCGAAGGUGGCAAAUCAAACUGUCGAGAAAAGCUUCUAGUGAGUGUUAACCAACCCGUACCGCAAACCGACACAGGUAGUCAGGAAGAGUAUUCCGAGGUGAUCGAGAGAACUCUCGUUAAGGAACUCGGCAAAAUGACCCCGUAACUUCGGGAGAAGGGGUGCUGACAGCAAUGUCAGCCGCAGUGAAUAGGCCCAGGCGACUGUUUAUCAAAAACACAGGUCUCCGCUAAAUCGAAAGAUGACGUAUAGGGGCUGACGCCUGCCCGGUGCUGGAAGGUUAAGAGGAGUGCUUAGCGCAAGCGAGGGUACGAAUUGAAGCCCCAGUAAACGGCGGCCGUAACAAUAACGGUCCUAAGGUAGCGAAAUUCCUUGUCGGGUAAGUUCCGACCCGCACGAGAGGCGUAACGAUCUGGGCACUGUCUCAACGAGAGACUCGGUGAAAUUAUAGUACCUGUGAAGAUGCAGGUUACCCGCGACAGGACGGAAAGACCCCAUGGAGCUUUACUGUAGCUUGAUAUUGAGUGUUUGUAUGACAUGUACAGGAUAGGUAGGAGCCUUAGAAGUGUGGACGCCAGUCUACAUGGAGGCAAUGGUGGGAUACUACCCUUGUGAUAUGAACCCUCUAACCCGCGUCUAAACAACGGGAGACAGUGUCAGGUGGACAGUUUGACUGGGGCGGUCGCCUCCUAAAGAGUAACGGAAGUGCCCAAAGGUUCCCUCAGAAUGGUUGGAAAUCAUCCGCAGAGUGCAAAGGCAGAAGGGAGCUUGACUGCGAGACUUACAAGUCGAGCAGGGACGAAAGUCGGGCUUAGUGAUCCGGUGGUACCGCAUGGAAGGGCCAUCGCUCAACGGAUAAAAGCUACCCUGGGGAUAACAGGCUUAUCUCCCCCAAGAGUUCACAUCGACGGGGAGGUUUGGCACCUCGAUGUCGGCUCAUCGCAUCCUGGGGCUGAAGUCGGUCCCAAGGGUUGGGCUGUUCGCCCAUUAAAGCGGUACGCGAGCUGGGUUCAGAACGUCGUGAGACAGUUCGGUCCCUAUCCGUCGCGGGCGUAGGAGAUUUGAGAAGAGCCAUCCUUAGUACGAGAGGACCGGGAUGGACACACCGCUGGUGUACCAGUUGUUCCGCCAGGAGCAUCGCUGUAGCUAUGUGUGGGAUGGAUAAGCGCUGAAAGCAUCUAAGUGCGAAGCCAGCUUCAAGAUGAGAUUUCCCAUCACGCAAGUGAGUAAGACCCCUGAGAGACGAUCAGGUAGAUAGGCUAGAAGUGGAAGUGCAGCGAUGUACGGAGCGGACUAGUACUAAUCGGUCGAGGACUUAAUC
RNAcentral lists this ribosomal RNA (1482 nucleotides) under metagenome. RNAcentral describes it as "bacterial LSU rRNA". It matches the Rfam family "Bacterial large subunit ribosomal RNA", at positions 1430 to 2925 of the family's 2925-position model. The record is from RNAcentral.